CUAAUUAAAAAUGCUCAUUACACACUCAGCCCAUUCACCGAACUUAUUCACAAGCUCUUUCUAUCAUUUCUCUUUCUACUCAAACCCUAGAAUCGAAAAGGCGUCGCCCCUUCUUCAACCUCCGCCGCUGCUCCUCCACCGAUCAACCGCAACCCACCUCUUCGAUCUCCCGCCGUGAUGUGUACUCCAAAACCCCCUUCGAUUUGUCCAGAAUUCAACCAAUCCUUGGUUGAAUUCGUCGAUUCCGAGUCUCUGAGCGGUGGUCACAUCUCCGACUCGCAAUUUUUUGAUGGUUGUGACUCUCGUAUAAAUCUUGGUGGCUACUUCCCAUGUCUUCCUC
RNAcentral lists this long non-coding RNA (340 nucleotides) under Salvia miltiorrhiza (redroot sage). Its description in RNAcentral is "long non-coding RNA (SMIL_LNC003780)". Lineage: Eukaryota; Viridiplantae; Streptophyta; Magnoliopsida; Lamiales; Lamiaceae. The record is from RNAcentral.